Molecule: non-coding RNA, 354 nt
Organism: Prunus avium (sweet cherry)
Lineage: Eukaryota; Viridiplantae; Streptophyta; Magnoliopsida; Rosales; Rosaceae
Source: RefSeq, a predicted model, not a curated record
GCAGAUCAACUCGGUAGACUCCUUUUGUAUUGGCCAGAGCACGAGCAAGUUCCACCACAUAUUUCACCUAAAUUAAUAGCUACCAUAUAAUCUCUUCCGAGUUCCAUGUUUUCUCCACGAAUCAACCCAUGAAUGCUACAACAAGCUCUGAAAGGUCAUCAUCUGCAUCGUGACGCCCUUGUUCUCGCUCCAGACGUCGUUUUGCAAGUCUUCGUGCAUCAUCCCAUGCUAUCUGCAGCAGUCCAAAUUAAACAACUUUCAUUUCUGUGUCUCCAAUUAAUUUCAACUUACAUUUCCUAAUUAAUUUUAUGCACAUUAUAUAUAGUUUAAAUGGAAUGAGAUUCCUUUUCUUUC